AGCCCCAUCGUCUAGUGGCUAAGGAUACAGGUUUCUGGGACCUGUGACCCCAGUUCGAAUCUGGGUGGGGCUA
RNAcentral lists this transfer RNA (73 nucleotides) under Candidatus Iainarchaeum sp. RNAcentral's name for it is "tRNA-Gln". It matches the Rfam family "tRNA". Rfam says of the family: Transfer RNA (tRNA) molecules are approximately 80 nucleotides in length. Lineage: Archaea; Nanobdellati; Candidatus Iainarchaeota; Candidatus Iainarchaeia; Candidatus Iainarchaeales; Candidatus Iainarchaeaceae. The record is from RNAcentral.